GCAGGGCGCGGUGGUGCGUGCCUGUAAUCCCAGCUGCUUGGGAGGCUGAGGCAGGAGAAUCGCUUGAACCCAGGAGGUGGAGGUUGCAGUGAGCUGACGCCGUGUCACUGCACUCCAGCCUGGGUGACAAAGUGAGACUCCGUCUCAA
This is an unclassified non-coding RNA of Macaca fascicularis (crab-eating macaque), 148 nucleotides long. It matches the Rfam family "Metazoan signal recognition particle RNA". From Rfam's summary of the family: The signal recognition particle (SRP) is a universally conserved ribonucleoprotein. It is involved in the co-translational targeting of proteins to membranes. Lineage: Eukaryota; Metazoa; Chordata; Mammalia; Primates; Cercopithecidae. The record is from Ensembl.